AUGAACGCUGGCGGCGUGCCUAAUACAUGCAAGUCGAGCGAACAGACGAGGAGCUUGCUCCUCUGACGUUAGCGGCGGACGGGUGAGUAACACGUGGAUAACCUACCUAUAAGACUGGGAUAACUUCGGGAAACCGGAGCUAAUACCGGAUAAUAUAUUGAACCGCAUGGUUCAAUAGUGAAAGACGGUUUUGCUGUCACUUAUAGAUGGAUCCGCGCCGCAUUAGCUAGUUGGUAAGGUAACGGCUUACCAAGACAACGAUGCGUAGCCGACCUGAGAGGGUGAUCGGCCACACUGGAACUGAGACACGGUCCAGACUCCUACGGGAGGCAGCAGUAGGGAAUCUUCCGCAAUGGGGGAAAGCCUGACGGAGCAACGCCGCGUGAGUGAUGAAGGUCUUCGGAUCGUAAAACUCUGUUAUUAGGGAAGAACAAAUGUGUAAGUAACUAUGCACGUCUUGACGGUACCUAAUCAGAAAGCCACGGCUAACUACGUG
Molecule: ribosomal RNA, 496 nt
Filed under: uncultured bacterium
Lineage: Bacteria
Description: partial 16S ribosomal RNA
Rfam family: Bacterial small subunit ribosomal RNA
Source: RNAcentral